AUCAACUUUCGAUGGUAGGAUAGAGGCCUACCAUGGUGGUAACGGGUAACGGGGUGUUAGGGCACGACACCGGAGAGGGAGCCUGAGAAACGGCUACCACAUCCAAGGAUGGCAGCAGGCGCGCAAAUUACCCAAUCCCGACACGGGGAGGUAGUGACAAUAAAUAACAAUACGGGGUCCUUAAGGGUCUCGUAAUUGGAAUGAGUACAAUUUAAAUCUCUUAACGAGGAACAAUUGGAGGGCAAGUCUGGUGCCAGCAGCCGCGGUAAUUCCAGCUCCAAUAGCGUAUAUUAAAGUUGUUGCAGUUAAAAAGCUCGUAGUUGAAUUUCGAGAUCAGUACGCUGGUCGUGCCUUCGGUAUGCACUGGUGUCACUGGUUUCUCCCUUCUGAAGAACCGUCAUGCCAUUCAGUUGGUGUGGCGGGGAAUCAGGACUGUUACUUUGAAAAAAUUAGAGUGUUUAAAGCAGGCUCGCGCUUGAAUACAUUAGCAUGGAAUAAUGAAAUAGGACGUUUGACCCUAUUUUGUUGGUUUCUAGGAUCGACGUAAUGAUUAAUAGGGAUAGUUGGGGGCAUUAGUAUUCAAUUGUCAGAGGUGAAAUUCUUGGAUUUAUUGAAGACUAACUACUGCGAAAGCAUUUGCCAAGGAUGUUUUCAUUAAUCAAGAACGAAAAUUAGGGGAUCGAAGACGAUCAGAUACCGUCGUAGUCUUAACCAUAAACUAUGCCGACUAGGGAUCGGAUGAUGUUAAUUUUUUAAUGACUCAUUCGGCGCCUUACGGGAAACCAAAGUGUUUGGGUUC
Molecule: ribosomal RNA, 799 nt
Filed under: uncultured Glomeromycotina
Lineage: Eukaryota; Fungi; Glomeromycota
Description: SSU rRNA
Rfam family: Eukaryotic small subunit ribosomal RNA
Source: RNAcentral